Molecule: ribosomal RNA, 253 nt
Filed under: uncultured bacterium
Lineage: Bacteria
Description: partial 16S ribosomal RNA
Rfam family: Bacterial small subunit ribosomal RNA
Source: RNAcentral
UACGUAGGUGACAAGCGUUGUCCGGAUUUACUGGGCGUAAAGAGCGCGCAGGCGGUCGUUCAAGUCGAGUGUGAAAGCCCCCGGCUCAACUGGGGAGGGUCAUUCGAUACUGAUCGACUCGAAGGCAGGAGAGGGAAGUGGAAUUCCCGGUGUAGUGGUGAAAUGCGUAGAUAUCGGGAGGAACACCAGUGGCGAAGGCGACUUCCUGGCCUGUUCCUGACGCUCAGGAGCGAAAGCGUGGGGAGCGAUCCGG